Papio anubis (olive baboon) is the source of this 45-nucleotide non-coding RNA. The record is from Rfam. NCBI's taxonomy places the organism in Eukaryota, Metazoa, Chordata, Mammalia, Primates, Cercopithecidae.
CCUCAGGUUUUAUUGAAAACCACACACACACAUUUAAAAUUCUUC